UACGAAGGGGGCUAGCGUUGUUCGGAUUAACUGGGCGUAAAGCGCGCGUAGGCGGGUUUUUAAGUCAGGGGUGAAAUCCCAAGGCUCAACCUUGGAACUGCCUUUGAUACUGGAAAUCUUGAGUCCGGGGAGAGGUGAGUGGAACUGCGAGUGUAGAGGUGAAAUUCGUAGAUAUUCGCAAGAACACCAGUGGCGAAGGCGGCUCACUGGCCCGGUACUGACGCUGAGGUGCGAAAGCGUGGGGAGCAAACAGG
RNAcentral lists this ribosomal RNA (254 nucleotides) under uncultured bacterium. RNAcentral describes it as "partial 16S ribosomal RNA". It matches the Rfam family "Bacterial small subunit ribosomal RNA", at positions 524 to 776 of the family's 1533-position model. The record is from RNAcentral.